UCGGCAACGGAUAUCUCGGCUCUCGCAUCGAUGAAGAACGUAGCGAAAUGCGAUACUUGGUGUGAAUUGCAGAAUCCCGUGAACCAUCGAGUCUUUGAACGCAAGUUGCGCCCGAAGCCUCUAGGCCGAGGGCACGCCUGCCUGGGCGUCACGCGCCGUUGCCCCC
RNAcentral lists this ribosomal RNA (166 nucleotides) under Crataegus laevigata. Its description in RNAcentral is "5.8S ribosomal RNA". It matches the Rfam family "5.8S ribosomal RNA". Rfam says of the family: 5.8S ribosomal RNA (5.8S rRNA) is a component of the large subunit of the eukaryotic ribosome. It is transcribed by RNA polymerase I as part of the 45S precursor that also contains 18S and 28S rRNA. Lineage: Eukaryota; Viridiplantae; Streptophyta; Magnoliopsida; Rosales; Rosaceae. RNAcentral also lists the same sequence under 2 other names. The record is from RNAcentral.